AGAGUUUGAUCCUGGCUCAGGAUGAACGCUAGCUACAGGCUUAACACAUGCAAGUCGCGGGGCAGCAUGUUACUGGCUUGCCAGUAAUGAUGGCGACCGGCGCACGGGUGAGUAUCGCGUAUCCAACCUUCCCAUAUCCACGGGAUAGCCUGCCGAAAGGCAGAUUAAUACCGUAUGUUGUCGCACGCUGGCAUCAAAAUGCGACGAAAGGCUUAGCGGAUAUGGAUGGGGAUGCGUCCGAUUAGCUUGACGGCGGGGUAACGGCCCACCGUGGCGACGAUCGGUAGGGGUUCUGAGAGGAAGGUCCCCCACAUUGGAACUGAGACACGGUCCAAACUCCUACGGGAGGCAGCAGUGAGGAAUAUUGGUCAAUGGGCGGAAGCCUGAACCAGCCAAGUAGCGUGCAGGAUGACGGCCCUAUGGGUUGUAAACUGCUUUUAUGCGGGGAUAAAGUAUGGGACGUGUCCCAUUUUGCAGGUACCGCAUGAAUAAGGACCGGCUAAUUCCGUGCCAGCAGCCGCGGUAAUACGGAAGGUCCGGGCGUUAUCCGGAUUCAUUGGGUUUAAAGGGAGCGUAGGCCGCCCCUUAAGCGUGUUGUGAAAUGCCGCGGCUCAACCGUGGCACUGCAGCGCGAACUGGGGGGCUUGAGUGUGCGCGACGCAGGCGGAAUUCGUGGUGUAGCGGUGAAAUGCUUAGAUAUCACGAGGAACCCCGAUUGCGAAGGCAGCUUGCGGGAGCACUACUGACGCUGAAGCUCGAAGGCGCGGGUAUCGAACAGGAUUAGAUACCCUGGUAGUCCGUCGCGGUAAACGAUGGAUGCCCGCUGUGUGCCAUUACGGUAUGCGGCCAAGCGAAAGUCGUUAAGCA
RNAcentral lists this ribosomal RNA (867 nucleotides) under uncultured bacterium. RNAcentral describes it as "bacterial SSU rRNA". It matches the Rfam family "Bacterial small subunit ribosomal RNA", at positions 8 to 866 of the family's 1533-position model. The record is from RNAcentral.